Molecule: small nuclear RNA, 168 nt
Filed under: Oryza glumipatula
Lineage: Eukaryota; Viridiplantae; Streptophyta; Magnoliopsida; Poales; Poaceae
Description: U1 spliceosomal RNA
Rfam family: U1 spliceosomal RNA
About the family: U1 is a small nuclear RNA (snRNA) component of the spliceosome (involved in pre-mRNA splicing). Its 5' end forms complementary base pairs with the 5' splice junction, thus defining the 5' donor site of an intron.
Source: Rfam by way of RNAcentral
AUACUUACCUGGACGGGGUCAACGGGCGAUCAAGAAGGGCCCGUGGCCUAGGCCAACGCCCCACAUUGCACUUGGUGGGCGCGUUGGCUUACCAUCUCCCCAAGUGGGAGAGUGGACGUCAUAAUUUAUAAUUUGUGAUAGAGGGGGUACGCGUUCGCGCGGCCCCUG